Molecule: ribosomal RNA, 128 nt
Filed under: Propithecus coquereli (Coquerel's sifaka)
Lineage: Eukaryota; Metazoa; Chordata; Mammalia; Primates; Indriidae
Source: RNAcentral
CACACCACCCUGAACGCGCCUGAUCUUGUCUGAUCUCGGAAGCUAAGCAGGUCAGGCCUGGUUAGUACUUGGAUGGGAGACAGGUCUCACUCUUGCUCAGGCUGGUCUCAAACUCCGGAACUCAAGCA